CCUACGGGUGGCAGCAGUGAGGAAUAUUGGUCAAUGGGCGCGAGCCUGAACCAGCCAAGUCGCGUGAGGGAAGACGGCCCUACGGGUUGUAAACCUCUUUUGCCGGGGAGCAACGGGCGCCACGUGUGGCGCCACUGAGAUUACCCGGAGAAAAAGCAUCGGCUAACUCCGUGCCAGCAGCCGCGGUAAUACGGAGGAUGCGGGCGUUAUCCGGAUUGAGUGGGUUUAAAGGGUGCGUAGGGGGAGCGUUAAGUCAGUGGUAAAAUUGAGGGGCUCAACCCCUGCCCGCCAUUGAAACUGGCGCUCUUGAGUGGAAGAGAAGUAUGCGGAAUGCGUGGUGGAGCGGUGAAAUGCAUAGAUAUCACGCAGAACCCCGAUUGCGAAGGCAGCAUGCCGGCUUCCGACUGACGCUGAAGCACGAAAGCGUGGGGAUCGAACAGGAUUAGAUACCCGUGUAGUC
RNAcentral lists this ribosomal RNA (460 nucleotides) under uncultured bacterium. Its description in RNAcentral is "partial 16S ribosomal RNA". It matches the Rfam family "Bacterial small subunit ribosomal RNA", at positions 338 to 795 of the family's 1533-position model. The record is from RNAcentral.